UGACACAGUAGGAUAAGCUAAGCACACUGUUGGUUAUGUGUGCCCAAGCAUUGAGGCAGUCAAAGUAGGUAAAUCCGCUUUGAUAAUGCUGGGAUGUGAUGGGGAGCGAAAUUUAGUAGCGAAGUAGCUGAUUUCACACUGUCAAGAAAAGUCUCUAUCGAGGUUAAAGGUACCCGUACCGCAAACCGACACAGGUGGGUGAGGAGAGUAUCCUAAGGCCAGCGAGAGAACUGUUGUUAAGGAACUCGGCAAAAUG
RNAcentral lists this ribosomal RNA (256 nucleotides) under Clostridioides difficile. RNAcentral describes it as "partial 23S ribosomal RNA". It matches the Rfam family "Bacterial large subunit ribosomal RNA", at positions 1470 to 1724 of the family's 2925-position model. The record is from RNAcentral. Lineage: Bacteria; Bacillati; Bacillota; Clostridia; Peptostreptococcales; Peptostreptococcaceae.